RNAcentral lists this ribosomal RNA (855 nucleotides) under Triticum aestivum (bread wheat). RNAcentral's name for it is "partial small subunit ribosomal RNA". Lineage: Eukaryota; Viridiplantae; Streptophyta; Magnoliopsida; Poales; Poaceae. The record is from RNAcentral.
AUGAUUAAAAACCUUAUUAUCUCCUCUUGGAACGUUAGGGGCCUAGGGAGGCACGCAAAAUGCACCGAUGUCAAGGCCGGCAUCGCCGCAACCAACUGCUCGAUUUUGUGCUGCCAGGAGUCUAAGUUAGAAGACAUAGAUCAGAUUAAAGCAAUGACGUUUCUGCCUCCAACCCUUAAAGACCUAGAUUUCAUCCCAUCGGUUGGUGCCUCGGGAGGUACCUUAACCACUUGGGAUAGCAACCUAUGGGAAUGCUCUACCAUCUCUAAGACACAAUUUUCCCUCUACUGCAAGUCAAAAGCAGACGACCUCUCUUUCACUAUAACCAAUGUUUAUGGCCCAUGCGACUCUGCUAACAAGAGUACCUUUCUGGAUUCUCUUGUUGACCUCUCUCUGUCAAUUUCCGGGCUUUGGGCCAUCCUUGGAGACUUUAAUCUCAUCUUGCGGCCUUCUGAAAAAUCUACGGCCAACUUCAAUUCCCACGAGGCUCUUCUUUUCUCUAACGCGAUCCAAAACAUGCAGCUCCAUGACUUGCCUCUCCUGGAUAGACUUUUCACCUGGACGAACCAACAAGACGCCCCCAUCUUAGUUAGACUCGGUCGUGCAUUAGUUAAUAUUGCCUGGGUUCAGAAAUUCCCAGACAGCUCUCACUUCGCUACGAGAUCCACGUCCAACCAUGUUCCCAUCCAGCUUACCGCUGCCACCCACAUCCCGAACCUGCGAUUUUUUGCCUCAACAACCCUUUACUGGCUAACCCCUCCUUCCAAGCCCAGGUGGCCUCUAACUGGGCCAGUGUUGGCGGCAUGCCGCGAGGGGUUCCGCUGGCCUGAUUACCCUACGCCUCAAGAGAACUAG